RNAcentral lists this ribosomal RNA (766 nucleotides) under uncultured archaeon. Its description in RNAcentral is "bacterial SSU rRNA". It matches the Rfam family "Archaeal small subunit ribosomal RNA", at positions 38 to 812 of the family's 1478-position model. The record is from RNAcentral.
UAUAUGUCUAGCAUGCGAGUCAUUGUAGCAUACAAGGCAUACGGCUCAGUAACGCGUAGUCAACCUAACCUAUGGACGGGAAUAACCUCGGGAAACUGAGAAUAAUGCCCGAUAGAACACUAUACCUGGAAUGGUUUGUGUUCCAAAUGAUUUAUCGCCAUAGGAUGGGACUGCGGCCUAUCAGUUUGUUGGUGAGGUAAUGGCCCACCAAGACUAUUACAGGUACGGGCUCUGAGAGGAGUAGCCCGGAGAUGGGUACUGAGACACGGACCCAGGCCCUAUGGGGCGCAGCAGGCGAGAAAACUUUGCAAUGUGCGAAAGCACGACAAGGUUAAUCCGAGUGAUUUGUGCUAAACGAAUCUUUUGUUAGUCCUAGAAACACUAACGAAUAAGGGGUGGGCAAGUUCUGGUGUCAGCCGCCGCGGUAAAACCAGCACCUCAAGUGGUCAGGAUGAUUAUUGGGCCUGAAGCAUCCGUAGCCGGCUCUGUAAGUUUUCGGUUAAAUCUGUACGCUUAACGUACAGGCUGCCGGGAAUACUGCAGAGCUAGGGAGUGGGAGAGGUAGACGGUACUCGGUAGGAAGUGGUAAAAUGCUUUGAUCUAUCGAUGACCACCUGUGGCGAACGCGGUCUACCAGAACACGUCCGACGGUGAGGGAUGAAAGCUGGGGGAGCAAACCGGGAUUAGAUACCCGGGGUAGUCCCAGCUGUAACUAUGCAACUUCAGUGAUGCAUGGCCUGCGGCGAUGCAGUGCUGCCAGGGCAGC